Olea europaea var. sylvestris is the source of this 1593-nucleotide long non-coding RNA. RefSeq lists it as uncharacterized. The transcript has 4 exons. The record is from RefSeq and is a predicted model, not a curated record. NCBI's taxonomy places the organism in Eukaryota, Viridiplantae, Streptophyta, Magnoliopsida, Lamiales, Oleaceae.
AUCAACACGCUUCAACUAAUCCUCCCACUCUUCCCUCUUCUUGCUCUGUAACUGAUAACGGAAGAAAUCACUACACGCAAAGCAGCACAAUAUUGAAACUAUUGAAUACAAUCAAGAAGCCAUUUACCGAUUGGAUCUAACGUCAUGGCUCACUGGAUCUCUUCCAAGCUCAAAGCCCCUGAAACUCUUCUCCAUCAGAUCGAUCGUUAAGCUGCAGAAUCACUGGGUCAAAUUGAGAAGCCACGAUUUGAUGAACAAUUAGGUCUUGAAACCCCGCCAAAGAUGGGGUAAACUAGGUCAUUGAUUAAGUAGCAUGUUAAAAAAAAGGUGCCUGAAAAUGUCAGCGAGAACAAUAAUUUAAAAUGUAACUGGUCGCAGUGAUAGUAAUAUUAAACGGGAUGAUGAUGUUGGAGUAUCAGUGAAUUUGAACUCGAAGUCAAAUUCGAGGAGGGGACUUACAAAUCCUGAUGGUGAUUGGACGGAAUUAUUGAGCGUGCCAAAUAGAAAUGUAGCAUCCAUGGGGUGUGAGUGGGAAUCAGAGUAGCAUUGGAGCGUUGGGGAUUAGGGGUUUGAAGAAAGAUGGUAUGAAACGAGGGAGAUUGAGGUCGAAGGUAUUAGAGGGGAAAAGGAUUGAGAAUGGACGGAAUAAUAGUGUUCUGUAUGGUUCAAGAAAAUCUAAUGUUGAGUUGGAGGGUAACGCAAAUGGUGGUGGUAGUUCGGAUAGUGGGAUGGCAAGUUACUCAGAAGGUGCAAUGUGAAAAACUUCGAUUUCCAAAUUUCAGAGCGAGGGAGGUGAAUCAGAUCGAAAGGACAUAAGUGAUGCACUUGUGCCUGAUAACAACUAUGAGGCAGAUACGGGGAAAAAUGAUGAGGUGAAUGGCAAUGGAGAUGGAGAGAAGCUACGUUCUACAGAUGGUUUGACCAGUAAAGAUCAUCUCAUGGAGAUGGUGCCAGCUUCUUUUUUGAUAGGAAAUUGAAUAUGAAGUUUCAAAUGAAGAGCAGUGAGAGGUUUAAGAGUGGAAUGUUAAAGAACAAUAAAUCAAAAGUGGGUUCCAGAAGUACAAGUUCUAUGAAGAAAGAUUCUUCUUCCCCAAGGGACGAAGAAUCUGAUUCUGAGACAGAUACAACUUCAUCUUCAGAUCCAGAGAGAGAACGCGAGAGGGCAGAAAGGAUAAAAGAUGGCAGCAGAUUCUGGCAGAAAGAGUAGCUGCCAAAGCAGUUGAGGCUAUCAAAGAUCAUGAUAACCUGGUUGCUAAAUUGGAGGGGGAGAAACAGAGUUUAGAGAAAAUACUUGAAGAUCCGGCCAAACAGCAAGUACAGGAGCUUCAGAAUUGCAUACAUCAAUGAUGGAGAUUAUGGAAGCUGCUGAUUUAGAGAAGCGAAAACAUAACAAUACACGUAUGGAAGCAGUGUCACACGUAUGGAAGCACUUAUGAGACUGUCAAAACUUGCGACUGCGAAUGCCGACCUUGCAAGUUCUUUUGUUGCUGCACAGAAAAAACCUUGAAACAGAGGUACUUGAAAACCUCUGUAGUUGUUUAUUGUGUUGCAUUUUUCCUUUGCUCUCUCUCUCGCUCUGCCCCCCCACCCCCC